RNAcentral lists this unclassified non-coding RNA (2294 nucleotides) under Hevea brasiliensis (rubber tree). Lineage: Eukaryota; Viridiplantae; Streptophyta; Magnoliopsida; Malpighiales; Euphorbiaceae. The record is from RNAcentral.
CGUGAUGGUGAUCAUGGCCACUGUGACUGUGACCAUGACCAUGAUGAUGGCGAUGGUCAUGGUCAUCCUCUUUUGCUUCAUCAAACAUUUUCUGGAUAUGCUCUGGUAUAGGUUCUUCUUCAGUUUUCCUAAUUGAUUUUGGUAAAGAGGAUACAAACUCAACAAGAAUCUCAGCUAGCUCAUCUGUAGCAUCUUCCUGAAAUCACAAAGAAUCAAAACUGAAUUUCAAUUCAAAUGCAGCGAUUGCAUUAUUUCAUCCAGCAGCAUCCAAAAGAAACAAAGAAAGCCUUAUGAACGAUUCAACAAUGUACUUUGCAUAUGAAAUGUGGUUUGGAUCUAACUGCCAACAUAAAAUUAAGGAAAAAGUACUAUUAGUCCCUAUAUUAUAGUGAAAUUAAUGACUUUAUCCUUGUAUUUUCAAAAACACAUUAAUUAGUCCCUAAGUUUUGAUUCCGUACUAUUUUUCUUUCUUCCCUCCAUUUAUUUUUCUCAACAUUUGCCACUAAUGAUAAACAAUUUCAUCCCUAAAUUUUUACUAUUACAAACAUUUUUGCCCCUAAAUUUUUAUCAUUAUUAAUACUUUUGUCCCUUAUUUACCACCUUUUAGUCCCUGACUAAUGAUUAAAUUGACAAAAAAUGGACAAAGGAACCAAAUAGUUAAAUGUAAAGAACUAAAUCAUGUAUUUUUUGAAAAUAUGAUGACCAAGUCACUAAUUUUACCAUAAUUGAGGGACUAUAAAAUUAAUUGGUGAGAGAAAGUAGAAAAUUAAGCAGAGUGCAAGAGUUAUUAGCAUGAUGCCCUCUGAAGCAUUCAACGAAUAUGAAAGAAAUAACUUAAUAAAUAGUUGAAAAGAGGAAAAAUAAAAAAAGAAUACUGUUCUCAAUUAGGCAAAGAGGCUCAAGUUGUACAUUGAGCCUACCUUGAUCCCAAGGGGGAUUGGGGGCGCUCAGUUCAACAAAAGAUCAUCUCAAUUUCUUGGGACAGGUUUGAGCCCCAGGGAAAUGUGAUCUGGCCACAUACGAACUCAACAAAAGCAACUGCACUGAUGCAUGUUCUUAUUUUCACGUUGUUCCAGUUCAAGCAAAGAAGUUAGUCCUCCUUCUCCAACAUUUUGGGUUAAGUGGCCUGAUUCAACCAUUCUUCUUGAAGCUGGAUAUGGCGAGGAUAAAAAAAAAAUGGGGGAAGGUGAAAGAGUAUAGGCACAGAACAGAAGAGGGACAUUAUGAAGACUGUUGAGAUUGGACUCCCAGAGAAAAAGUUUGAAGGUUAGUUCUACACUUUUCUAUCAUUAGUCAAAAUCAAACACCAUAUGCCCAUGCACAGAUACAUAUGCACGCAUUACAUAAACUCCACUCUCUCAGCCAAUGCCAAUCAGUGACAAACAAAGCUCAGUUAACUGCCUGUAUCUAUGAGAAAUUCAUUGCUUAAAUUUCAUGUUUAAGUUGAUCAAAUCAUUGCAGAAGGCAACAUCAAGUCUAUGUUUUGAUGAUAAAAUUGGGUAAAUCUUAUUGAAAGCUGGACCAUUUUGUGAAAAUCUCAUUAAGACUCUACUAGGAGGAUAAUAUUGAGUCUUGACAAGUCACAUCUAAAUCUGCUAUCAUCAACCAUCGAGAAGACAAUUCAAGUGAAAAAGUAUAUAAUAACAUCAAGAAACUGGAAUCAAACUCAAGCAUACACAACCUUUUCAAUUUCACCUCAUUAAAGAUAAAUUUUGCUCAUGAGAAGAUACCAAGUAGUCAAUUUGCCAUUGAAGCCAACUCCAAAAUCCAAAUGCAUUCUGAGGCCACCGCCCGCCAGAGUGAGAAACAAAUUUUGCAUGUGGAAGUGCCUCAGCUACCCUGUGCCCUUCCUGACUCCACUCUUUCGACCAACUAUUAGACCAAAUCACCUGAAUUGGCACUUCCUUUAUCCCAUCCAAACCACCACAUUCUGCUACACUAAAGCUAGAAUUCAGCUUCUUUCCUGUAUCCACAACAGCUCUCCUCACAUCCCUUCCUUUCAAAAUCGCUCUGUGUCUCCAAAUCCAAACCACCAAUCCUCUUUGAACAACACAAGCGAAUCAAUUUCUCAUAUGCAAAAUUUGAUCCCAAAACAACCUCUCUAAUUACUGGCAUUUUCAAAGCCCGCAAAGGCAAAGCUGGUUUUGACCCAGUAUCUGAAAGAGUGAUGCUUCUAACCAAAUUUGAGUUCUCCAAAACCCAAUUUGCCACCAUUCCUAAGCUUGAAUCAUGCAAAACCAAAUGCACAGGGGUAACCCCAUCGUUUCAAGCUUUCAAUCACUUGCUCCAAAACU